Molecule: long non-coding RNA, 410 nt
Filed under: Ananas comosus (pineapple)
Lineage: Eukaryota; Viridiplantae; Streptophyta; Magnoliopsida; Poales; Bromeliaceae
Description: long non-coding RNA (ACOM_LNC035642)
Source: RNAcentral
UUCUAAACUAAACAUUCAAACAAGUAUAAUGAUUAACUUUUAACCACAUACAUGCCUAUAACUAUUACAUUCACAUUACUUUUCAUCAUUUCUUUAAUACAUCUCAUUUUCUCCAAAAUGGAACUCUUUACAUUCAUUCGUCAUUUAUACAAUUACAUCUUCAAAAACAAAAGAAGAUAUGUAUCCAAAAGGGUAUGCAACUAAGCAAAUAAUAACACCGACUCGGGCGGUCACUGUCUACGGCGCGAUACCCUUACCGCGAUCGUCAACCGGCUCGCUCGGUCCCGGCUCUGUGGAAUAGUGGGGUGAGAACUACAACAAAGUUCCCAGUAGGUUCGGCUGCUGACCUCACCGACUUUCCCACUAGGUCUAAAUCAGGCAUAAUAGAGAAAUAAAGAGAGAGAUAGUAG